CAGGACAAACAGGUUAGGUUGCGCGCACUCGGCGCGAGAGGCGGACACAGGCGCACGGGACCGCUUCUGCUGUGGCCUGGGACGGCCACCGCUUUGCUUCCCGCGCCCUGGCCGCGGGGGCCCCGCGAGUUCCCGCCGUACACACAGACGGGCGGGCUGUCGGGACCGAGAGGGCCUCGUGCAACGGCGCUCUCCUCGGAAGCCACGCUACCUCAGCCGCUUCUGCAAAAAGGCAUGAGGGACGGCUCCUGGCUUCUGGAGCGUGAGGUGGCCUCGGGGUCAACCCGUUAAGGGGACUGCGCGGACGGCCCGGCCUGCCUUCCCCCAGCCCUUCCUCUCCGGGGCCCCGCGGCAGGCGCGGGAAUCCACAGAGGCCGACAUGUUCCCGAGGAGGCCACCGGCCACCCUGGCCGCCUGGCUGGCGGGCGCGCGGGGCGGGGGCCUGCUGUCCGCGCUGGCCAAUCAGUGCCGCUUCGUGACGGGCCUGCGCGUGCGGCGAGCGCAGCAGAUCGCGCAGCUCUACGGCCGCCUGUAUUCCGAGAGCUCGCGCUGCGCCCUGCUCGGACGCUUCUGGCGCCGGCUGCGAGGCCGCCCCGGCCAUGCCUCUGUUUUGAUGGCGGCGCUCUCCGGUGUUUUCGUAUGGGACGAGGAGAGAAUCCAGGAGGAGGAGUUGCAGAGGUCCAUUAAUGAGAUGAAACGGUUGGAAGAAAUGUCAAAUAUAUUUCAGAGCUCUGGAGUUGAGAAUUACCCUCCCGAACCAAAGUCCCCAGCAGGAGGGAAUGAAAAGUCAAAAGACAAGGAAGAACCCUGGGAAAUGGUGAUGGACAAGAAACACUUCAAGCUGUGGCGCCGCCCAAUUACAGGCACCCACCUUUACCAGUACCGAGUUUUUGGAACAUACACAGAUGUGACUCCCCGACAGUUCUUCAAUGUUCAGGUGAGUUCAUUUUCUCUCCAGGUUUGGAAUUUUUUGGCUCCAUGAAUGUCUGUUGUAAUCUCAGUGCUUGGAAGGUGAGGCAGGAGACUUGCUGUGAGUUAGAGGCAAGCCUGGGUUGUAUAACAAAUACAAGACUAGUCAGAAAUACAUAGCAAGUUAAAACAAAUUAAAUGAAUUAAAAACAAUAUGUUUGGGUGUGAUGGCACAUACCUUUAAUUCUAGCACUUAGGAAGCAGAGGCAGGUGGAUGAAUCUCUAUGAAUUUGAGGCCUGCCUGGGCUAUACAUCUAGUGCCAGGACAGCAGAGCUAUAUAGAGUGACUCUGUCCCAAAAACAAUAAAAGUGAAACAAAAGUGAGAGGAGAAGGUGAGAUCUCCCAAAGUGCCACAUAGAACUUUCUUUCCUGAUACUUCCAUUUUCUUUUUUUGUUUGUUUGUUUGUUUGUUUUGUUUUGUUGAGACAGGGUUUCUCUGUGUAGCCCUGGCUGUCCUGGAACUCACUUUGUAGACCAGGCUGGCCUCGAACUCAGAAAUCCACCUCCCUUUGCCUCCCAAGUGCUGGGAUUAAAGGCAUGUGCCACCACCGCCUGGGAUACUUCCAUUUUCAAAUUUUAAUUUUUUAAUUUUAAAAAUUAGUAUACAGCUGAAUGUGGUGGCGUGCACCUUUAAUCCUGAUACUUGGUUUAUGGGAGCUCCAGGACAUCCAGGACUAUAGAAAGAGACCCUGUCUGAAACUAAAUACAAAAUAAGUAUACAAAGUAUUAGGCUUUAUGGCCUUUUUCAGACAUAAUUUGGUUUUGCUGGUCUUCCUCCCCCUGUUGCCUUCUUCCUUCUCCCCGUCCUCUCCAUGUGUAUCUCCUCCAUCAGUAACCCUGGCCAACUUCCCUAUCACGUGUGUUCUAUUGUUCUCCCCUCUGAUCACUACCUUUUCUUUAUUCCUGGACUACUCUCUGGUUUUAUGACUUAUGUCUGUGCUCACACCUUCAUAUAUAAGAUAUGCAUAUGAGAAUGUGACAUUGUCUUUCUGAGUCUGUUACCUUGCUUAAUGUAAUUUCCAGAUGUAUCAUCUUCCUUAAUGUUUUAUAAUUUCAUUCUUCUUUUGGCUGAAUAAAAUUCCAUUGUAUACAAGUACCACAUGUUUACUAUCCAUUCAUUUGGUGUAAUUUCCUUCCUUUUGUGACUGGUGCCGCAGUAAUCAGCUAUAGUGAGAUAUAGAGUGUACAGGUUAUAUGCCCAGGAGUAUGGCUGGGUCAUAUGGUAGUUCUGUUUUUAAUUUUUCUGAUAAAUCUCCAUACUGAUUUUCAUAAUCUACUAACACCAGUGUGUAAUGUGUAAGUGUUCCUCUUUCCCCUGCCGUCAAUUUUUGUGAUUUUGCCAAGCUCUCAAUAACUAGUCUGCUGAUUAUAAUACCCACUAAAGCCAAGCCUGUUGGAAUAGACCUGUGUAGCAGUGAGUUCAGCUACGCUGCUUUGGUUCCCAGUGGGUUGUGUGCUUCCAGCCAGGAGCUAUCUGGAUUCAAGAAUGGAACUAUCGGGCUGGAGAGGUGGCUCAGCGGUUAAGAGCACUGGCUGCUCUUUCAGAGGGCCUGAGUUCAAUUCCCAGCAACUAUCUGUAAUGGGAUCCCAUGUCCUCUUCUCGUGUGCCUGAAGACAAUGAUGGUGUACUCAAAUAAUAUACAUAUAAUAAAUAAAUAAAUCUUUAAAAACAAAAAAGAAUGGAACUAUCUCCCCCCUUUCCCCCCUUUCCCCCUUUCUCAUCCGCCAGUUCAUUUUAAAAUGCCUUGGCUACCUUAAAGGCUAGGCACUCCUAAACCUUCCCCUGCUACCCCAGGUCCGAUUAUGGAAGUGGCCAGUGGCCGCCCACCCGAAUCUCACAUGGCUGGUUGGUUUUCUCUCAUACAGCUCCUACAGCCCGUCCUUCUCUCCCGAGUCAUGCCAGUUCUCUGUCUUCUCUUUCCCAGUUCCUAGCCCUCACAAAUCCAAAGAUCCCACACCAUCUCCCUUUGCCCAGCCAUUGGCUGCUGGCAUCUUUAUUGAUCAAUCAAAAACCAACUGGGGACAAGGACCUUCAGCGUUUGGACACUCAGAUUUCCAAUUAAAGCAUUAGAACCAAUCCCCAACAGGCCUGUAAUCUCAGCUCUUUCGGAGGCUGAAGCCUUCCUGGUAUGUAGUGAAUUUAAGACCAGCCUGAUCAACUUAGUGAGACUGUCUUAAGUAAAAACAAGACCAGGGAAAUGGAACAUUUGCAUAGUAUGUACAGGGUGUGCUGGGUUGAAUCUGCAGAAUUGUAACAAUGGUGUACCCACUAAGGAUAUACAAGGCACUUUGACCUGGGCUCUGGUUUUGUCAGUGCUGUUUGGUUUUUAUGCAUACGAUGUCUGUAUUUGGUUCCUUGAUAUGAAAGAAAAUAAGAAAUUCUCCUUUUUUUUUUUUGUGGUUUUUAGAGCUUUAUUGUAGAAAGGCAGGGGGAAGGAGAGAAGGUAGAAAGAGAGAGGCCAGCCAUGGCCACAUGGAGAUAGGGGUGAGGGGAGAGAGAGAGGGAGGACUAGACAGGAGAGUAGGAAAGGUGAAAGCUUAAAGAGCGAGAAAUGCUUCUUGAAUUUCUUUUUCUGUUGAAAAUAAUUUAGAAUUAUCAUAUCUUUACAUGUUAUCUGACGUAUUUUCUCCGGACAUUUCCUUUUCUUCUUUUUAAGUUUAAUCGUUUCUAAGAGGGUGCGGGUCCGUGCCUGAAGGCCAGGGAACAACUCUGUAGAGUUGCUUUUCUCCCACCUUUCUGUGGGUUCUAUGUAUUGAAUUCAGGUUGUUAGGCUUACAUAGUCAGGCACUAUUUUAGUUUCAUUCUGUUGCUGUGACUGACCAAAAGCAAUUUAGGAAGAGUUUAUUUUAGUUUAUAGGUAUAGUUAGUAACUGAGAGAAGUUGGGACAGGAACUUGAAACAAAAACUAUGGAAGAGACUGCUUAUUUUCUCUUUUCCAGGCUCAUCUUUUCUUCUCUUUUCUCUUCUUUUCUUUUCUCAUGCAUAUUGCUAGAUAAAAGCCAAUAUGAAAGGUGACAUACUAUAUGAUUUUAGAUCAUUCUAGACACUUGUCAAAACCAGCACAAUGUCUAGCACACUCACUGAACUCUAUACCAUAGUCAAUGAUAUAUCAGUACUGGGUAGGCAGUGGUAUAGGCGUGUAAUCCCAACACUUAGGAUCACCAAUCACCACAAGUUAUAGCUAGCCUUGUCCACCUAGUAAAUUUCAGGCCAGCUGUAGUUACUCCAUGGUAAAGCCUUAACUAAUUUUUUUUUUUUUGUUUUUUUGUUUUUCGAGACAGGGUUUCUCUGUAUAGCCCUGGCUGUCCUGGAACUCACUUUGUAGACCAGGCUGGCCUCGAACUCAGAAAUCCACCUGCCUCUGCCUCCCAAGUGUUGGGAUUAAAGGCAUGCGCCACCACUGCCUGGCUUACUUUUCGCUUUCCACACAAAAAAAAAAAAAAAAAAAAAAAAAAAAAAAAAAAAAUUAGUGAAAAAAAGUACAGAAAAAUAAACCCAUUAAAAUAAAAUCAGAUAGCUAAGCAUUUAAAAAGUCCAACACAAGGCCAUCAGGAGAUGCCAGAGAUGCUAAGGUUCAGCAGGGUGUUAGCAGAUAGUUGCUGAUUUGUAUGUAGACUCUUAACUGUCCUGGUAGAGAGGAGGGGAGACUUUUGAAGACUGAUGUCCAGUCUUUUUAGUUUUAAGCUAUUAUAGGGAAUACAGAAUGUUCCUUUUUACUUCUUCCAUUCUCUUCAGAUCAGAAUAAAACCUUGACAUUGUCUAAGGUGCCAUAUUUGGGAGUGCAGUUGUUAUAGUUCUUUGCACAGUUUCUCUCUUUUAAAUUUUCUCAUGAUCUUCUUACUUUUUUGAACACAUUAGGACAAAGCAUAUUAUCUUCCAUUCCUGGGAUGGGAAAACAUAGGCUGCUAUCAGGAAAGAUAAAUCAACUUCUGGAAAGUGUCUGGAACCCUGGUCUAAUUGGUAUAAAAUUGCAGGCAAACCCAGUCUGUCCUGUCUGCAGGAGCUGUGUACCAUGGACAUAGCCUGCUUUUUCAUAUAGUCUAGGACCACCUUUAUAAUGGGACUUUCUCCAGCCCACCAGUGGUAUAAAUAAUAACGAGAAUUUUAUUACAGUUUAAAACUUAGACUUUUUGCUAGGGCAGUUUUUCAGCUAGCUCUAUCUUUCUCUCCGCUGUGGUUCACAUCUGUUCCCUCCAUGUACAUUUUCAAAUCUCCCACGAUUGCUUUCUUUUCCCAGUAUAUACCACCUCUCUCUGUCUCUCCCCUUCCCAAGUCCCACCCCCUACUUCCUGCCCAGCCAUUGGCCAUUAGCUCUUUAUUACAGCUAGUCAGUGCAGCAAACCUCUGAUACAAUUCUAGAUUGCCUCUAGGCAGAGAGGACUGUCUGACCUUCAAGUAUCUGAGUAGGAGACUGGUGAUGUACCAUAGAAAUGACAGUACCAAUUUCCUGCCAGCAUUUAGCUCUCUUUGGUACAGAAUUAACCAUUGAAAAUACAGAGACAUACCUUCAUAGAGUAUAAAAAAGGUUACCCCAACACUUUUCCAUGGAAUGGUACUGUCCAUAGUGGAUAGUGGUCUGGAUCCACCUGUAUUAAUUAAUAAUCAAGACUGUUCUGGGGCUGGAGAGAUGGCUCAGCGGUUAAGAGCGUCAACUGCUCUUCCAAAGGUCCUGAGUUCAAAUCCCAGCAACUACAUGGUGUUUCACAACCAUCUGUAAUGAAAUCUGAUGCCCUCUUCUGGAGUGUCUGAACACAGCUACAGUGUACUUACAUAUAAUAAAUAUUUAAAAAAACAAACAAACAAAAAACUGUCCUCCUUAGACGGGCUCACACUCCAGACUUAUCUGGACAUCCUUUUCUCAGGUGACUCCAGGUUGUCAAUAGGUGGCAAACAUUUUUUACCCACUGAGACAUCUCAUCACCCACAUUCCACAGACAUUUUUAAUUAAUUAAUUUUUUUUACUUUGCAUCCCAAUUGCAGCUUCCUAUUUUUCCCAGUCCUUCCCUAAACUUUUUUUAAUAAUUAAUUUAAUUUUAUGCUCAUUGUAUGAGGGUGUCAGAUCCCCCAUGGAACUGGAGUUACAAACAGAUGUGAGCUGCCAUUUGGGUGUUGGGAAUUGAACCUGGGUCCUCUAGAAGAGCAGCCAUUGCACUUAGCCACUAAGCCCUCUCUCCAGUAUCUCCAUAGACAUUUCUAUUGCAUAGUUUUUGUGUAUGUGCAUGUAUGUACACACAUGAUAAUGAGAACUGAACAUAGACAAAACUUGCUAGACAAGUAAUUUAACCACUGAGCUGUACCUUCAGUCUUUUGGCGUCUUUUGUUUUGUUUUGUUUUUGAGACAGGUCUCCCUAUGUAAGUUCAGCCUUGAACUUUUGAUCCUUGUCUCUGCUUCUUGAAUUGCUGAUAUUUACAGCUGGAUACAGAGUACAGGAAAAAAUGGGAUGCCCUUGUGAUCAAGCUAGAGGUGAUUGAGAGAGAUGCUGUUAGUGGUUCUGAGGUUCUUCAUUGGGUAACCCAUUUUCCUUAUCCAAUGUACUCUCGUGAUUAUGUUUAUGUUCGGCGGUAUAGUGUGGAUCAGGAAAACAAUGUGAUGGUCUUGGUGUCACGUGCGGUGGAACACCCCAGUGUGCCAGAGUCUCCAGAGUUUGUCAGGGUCAGAUCUUACGAAUCCCAAAUGGUUAUCCGUCCUCACAAGUCGUUUGAUGAGAAUGGCUUUGACUACUUACUGACAUACAGUGACAAUCCACAGACAGUGUUCCCUCGAUACUGUGUCAGUUGGAUGGUUUCUAGUGGCAUGCCAGAUUUCUUGGAGAAGCUGCACAUGGCCACUCUGAAAGCCAAGAACAUGGAGAUCAAAGUGAAAGACUACAUCUCGGCUAAGCCUCUGGAAAUGAGCAGUGAGGCCAAGGCCACUGCUCCAUCCCCUGAGCGGAAGAAUGAGGGUAGCUGUGGCCCUGCUCGGAUUGAGUAUGCUUAAAGGCCUUUGGGAUAAGGAAAGACAGGCACUUCCAGCCCUGCCUUGCUCCUUCAGCUCUGCUGCAGGACAGGGACAAGUCACACAUGUUAGAAGACAUCUGCUGUAACUGUCAGUGCAAGAGGAUUUAGAACUGGAGUUAGAUUUCAUCUGGAGCCCUAUUGCUCUUUACCAAACAGAGGAGCAUGACAUUGUGGAGUUGUCAUGUUCUCAGGCCAGCAGUUGUGAAAUCCAGUAUCGUGCUUACCUACUCUGGAACAACCUCUCAUGUUAGGCCAGAAGGAGAUGACUCCUAUCCGCCUCCUACGAGAAGCUUCCUUGCUGACAUUCCAAAUGCCACUGUUGGUUAUGCAAUGCUCUGGAUAUCCUUCAGUUCUGUAGGUCACUUGGAGAGUGGUUGGCCCCUGGUUCUCACUAAGUGGUUUUUUGGAGUGCUCUUGGUAACAGUCCUGUGGUGGUGUGAACAAUUCUGGCUGAGCUAAGUGCCUUGUCCUCACCUUGCUUUAUCUUUAAAGACAUGAAGUUUGUACCAAGGGAUCCUUCCCCCUGCAGACUACCAUGACAUUGACUCAUCUGGUGGAGGCAGCUUUCAUCUUAACUGGCCUUUCUGUUUUCAUGGGCUGUGCUCACUGUGUCAUGGCCUCUGCCGUAGCCUUAGCCCAUUUGCUGGGAGCACCAGAGACAAACUCCUCUAGACGGUAGCUUCCUAAAUGAUGUCAUCAGUGUUUUGAUAGGAUCAGUGGAAGUGUGCACAAAACAUCUUACUUAAAAAUAGAUUUCUUUUUAACCCUUGUAGCAAAUGGAGUUAGGUGGUUGAGCACAACUCUUCCCUUAGUCUUGUUUGUUUUGGCACUAUUUUCCCACUGCAGAUUGACUGCGCUGUCCUGGAAGGAUAAAGGUGGUAGAUGGUGGUUGUGCCAUUUCCUCAGAGUUUUCAAAACUGUAAGCUGACAUAUGGGCCAACAGAUGGAGUCUUGCCCAAUACCAGUAUGGUAGGGAUGGGGCUUUUGUGACCUCUUGGUCUUGUAAAGCAUUUCUCUCCAGAGCUGACAUAGAAGUAAUAGACACAGUUUGGAUAAGAUCACAACCAGAUGCUAGGUGCCUGGCCUUGCUGGUUUCUUUAUGGUGAAUAGGGAUCAAGUUUCACAUCCUUCUCUCUCUUUUCCUGGAAUUAAUAGAGCUGACAUUUUCUUUUCUUGCUUGCUACCUACCCUGUUGUGGUGUUAAAAGAGACUAAACCCAAGGUGAACAUAAUCUUUAACCUUCUGUUGCCUAUUCAGUUCUGUGCCAAGGAAACAGCUAACUCCCCAGUGUUUCUGUCUUUUCGGUUGUUGGCAGAGCAGAGAGUGGCAUUGAGAAGCCCCAGUGUCUCUCAGUGAGCAUUUUUCCCUUCUUCCCAGGACCUGACAGGAAAAGAAAAAAUCUUUAUUUGACUUUAACAUCUGUAGCUGACUGCCUGUGAAUCUGUGAGCAAGUGUAAGCAUGUAUGUGUGCGUGUGUGUGCUGGGGCUCAGGGACUGAGCAGUUACGUUUACCCUUUGUUUUGUGAUUUGACUCUGUACAGUUAACUUGUGUCAUCAUAAUGAGUUUGCUCUUAACUGUGACAUUUUUAUCAAAGGUGUGAAUAAAUGCAUAAAGAUUGGUACA
RNA transcript from Mus musculus (house mouse), 8592 nucleotides. It is a transcript of the gene named StAR related lipid transfer domain containing 7, with no coding region annotated. The transcript is spliced from 8 exons. The record is from RefSeq and is marked validated. Lineage: Eukaryota; Metazoa; Chordata; Mammalia; Rodentia; Muridae.